CCUGGAGCUGCAGGUGAACCCGGAGCUGCAGGUGAACCCGGAGCUGCAGGUGAGCCCGGAGCUGCAGGUGAGCCUGGAGCUGCAGGUGAACCUGGAGCUGCAGGUGAACCGGCUCAGCUGUGGAUAAACGGCGUCCGUCGUGGAGGAGGAGCAGGACUGAAGAUGCAGAGGAGUCCAGACUUUACUGUGAAGACGCUGCCUUUCUGUUCUUUGGAGUUUCGUCGUCUUCAUUCAUAAAACAGGAGCUGACAGAUGAACUGAGCCUCCCUCCAUAGAUCCACAGUCAUGUCUCCUCCUGCAGAAGGAGGUGUUUAGGAGACGCAGAGCAGCAAAUACAGUCUGAAGGUUACUCCUGACAACACAGAGCCAAAUAUAAACACGGCAAACUGCUGGAUUACUGCUUUAUGUUGUGUACUGAGCAGCGAGACGCUGGUGAACAAAUAUACAGUAAGGUGUUUAUUUAUAGGAAAUAGAGCGGGGCUGGUGGUGGUGGUGAGGGGGGGCAAUAAUUGGAAUUUCUUCCAGGGAAAAUCCUAUUUCUGCAGUCUGGCUGAGAUAAAGAAAGACAUAAAUGGAUGGAGGACAGGAGGAAAUGGAAGAAUACACAGAUGCAAGCUGGAGAAAAUCCCAUUUUUCUCUGUUUGGAAGGAAGGACGGAUGGAUGGAAAGAAGGAAGGAAGGAUGGAAAUCCAUACGGUAAAAUCCAGUGGAUGCAGCAGGUAAACCCAGUAUCUGGAGUCUUCAGAUUACCAAAAUAAUCUCCCAUGAGAGACUAACAGGAUUUAGGAUGUGUCAGUCUGGAAAAGUGUGAAUCUUUGCAUGAAGUCAAACUUUAACAAAUAUGUAAAAAAACGCUGACAUCGUCACUUUGGGACGUUCUCUUCGUUUUGGGAAAAAGAACGAGUGCAGAUCUCUGCAAAGAACGGCUUCAGGAGGAACUGCAGCUUUGGAUCAGAGAAGAAGAAGACGUGAAAGUUUCACAGGGAAUGCUGGGAAUCUUCUUCUGUCCAUGUUUGUGUUGAAUCGUCCGUCCUGCUGUGACCGUCUAUCCUGAGCCGGUCGCUCUCAUGCACAGAUCUGGGAUGUCACCUCCCCCGGAGGAACAUCUGUUCCAGCUUUGUCCUGCAGAAGCAGCUUGGAUUCUGUGGUCCGGGCUGAUGUUUUCUGAUACAGAAGGAGGUUUAGUCUGAAGCCCAGAAUUCACGCAGCGUCCCACAGAAACGGAGCGGGAAGCAGCGGAUGCUCCAGGAAAAGACGGAAGUGAGACGGAGCAAAGGCUGGGAUGAGAGAGCUGACGGAGCGCCUGAAAGAAGGGCUGCACGU
Molecule: long non-coding RNA, 1323 nt
Organism: Oryzias latipes (Japanese medaka)
Lineage: Eukaryota; Metazoa; Chordata; Actinopteri; Beloniformes; Adrianichthyidae
Source: RefSeq, a predicted model, not a curated record